AAUCACUUGUCUUUUAAAUGAAGACCUGUAUGAAAGGUAUGACGAGGGCUUGACUGUCUCCUCUCUCCGGUCAGUGAAAUUGAUCUCCCCGUGCAGAAGCGGGGAUUCAAGCAUAAGACGAGAAGACCCUGUGGAGCUUAAGACAACCGGGUAGCCCAUGUCAAGGAUCCCACCUAAGGGAAAGAACUAAUUGGACCCUGCCCUAGUGUCUUAGGUUGGGGCGACCAUGGGGAACACCCAACCCCCAUGAGGACCGGGAGCACUGCAGGGAAAAUCCCCCAGCCUUUGACCACCCUCCUAGAAACCCGGGCUCCGGCCCUAGUUCACGAAAAAUUCGACCUAUACUGAUCCGGCCCAAGCCGAUCAACGGACCAAGUUACCCCAGGGAUAACAGCGCUAUCCCCUCCCAGAGCUCAUAUCGACGAGGGGGUUUACGACCUCGAUGUUGGAUCAGGACAUCCUAAUGGUGCAACCGCUAUUAAGGGUUCGUUUGUUCAACGAUUAA
RNAcentral lists this ribosomal RNA (505 nucleotides) under Chascanopsetta lugubris (pelican flounder). RNAcentral's name for it is "partial 16S ribosomal RNA". It matches the Rfam family "Bacterial large subunit ribosomal RNA", at positions 1963 to 2591 of the family's 2925-position model. Lineage: Eukaryota; Metazoa; Chordata; Actinopteri; Pleuronectiformes; Bothidae. The record is from RNAcentral.